GAACGUUAAAUAGAUUUUCUAUGCCCGACUACGGAUUGGGAAGAUUUUUCGUUUUG
This 56-nucleotide transfer RNA is filed under the name Toxocara cati (cat roundworm). Its description in RNAcentral is "transfer RNA-Arg". The record is from RNAcentral. Lineage: Eukaryota; Metazoa; Nematoda; Chromadorea; Rhabditida; Toxocaridae.